GACAGAGGUGCCGAGCGUUAGGCGGAAUCACUGGGCUUAAAGCGUGUGUAGGCGGACCGUUAAGUACCUUGUGAAAUCCCCCGGCUCAACCGGGGAACGGCUGGGUAUACUGGCGGUCUUGAGCCAUCCAGGGGCAGUCGGAACAGACGGUGGAGCGGUGAAAUGCGUAGAUAUCGUCUGGAACGCCGAAGGUGAAAACAGCUCGCUGGGGUUGUGCUGACGCUGAGACACGAAAGCCAGGGGAGCGAACGGG
Molecule: ribosomal RNA, 253 nt
Filed under: uncultured bacterium
Lineage: Bacteria
Description: partial 16S ribosomal RNA
Rfam family: Bacterial small subunit ribosomal RNA
Source: RNAcentral